UUAAAAAAUCACAUUCAUUCUCUCUUCCCCACUCACGAUGCUCUCUUCGACCUUCACUCUCUUAAGCUUUGCCCAGAUGCCUCUCUCUAUCUCGGCGUCACUCUCUGUCACGGUGGCUCUCUCUCUCGCUUUGACUCGCUGGCUCGCCGUCGCUCUGUCGCUCGCCGUUGCUCUCUCUGACGUCGUGUCUCUCUCUCGCAUCGUGUCUCUGUCUUCCUCGGCGAGCAGCGACGUUUACUUUCCAACAGACCGAAGGGGAGUCAAGCUCAUGUUUUCAAAUGGGCGGAUGAAGCAAUGUGCGAAGAAAUCGAAGAAUUACGUAUCCAAAAUCUAACUAUCCUCCAUGCUGCGGAAAAACUGAAGGCCGAAGCUGAACUACUUAAAGGAUUUGUGUAUAAAACGUUGGCCGCUAUCGUAAUUCUAGGUGUGGUAUGUUUGUAUUAUUAUGUUCUUCCGUGUUUUUGAAGUUCGAUGUGAAAAAUGUAGUGUAUGGAUAUUUUGAUGAAUUAUGUUGUGUGUCGAUCGUUUGGAUAUGUAUGACGGGUAAGGAUUUGUAUGUGUCGGACAUGUUUAAAUGAAUCAAUGUUAUUUUGGUAUUUAUA
Tarenaya hassleriana is the source of this 602-nucleotide long non-coding RNA. RefSeq lists it as uncharacterized. The record is from RefSeq and is a predicted model, not a curated record. Lineage: Eukaryota; Viridiplantae; Streptophyta; Magnoliopsida; Brassicales; Cleomaceae. The transcript is spliced from 2 exons.